This 155-nucleotide ribosomal RNA is filed under the name uncultured Alphaproteobacteria bacterium. Its description in RNAcentral is "partial 16S ribosomal RNA". It matches the Rfam family "Bacterial small subunit ribosomal RNA", at positions 356 to 528 of the family's 1533-position model. Lineage: Bacteria; Pseudomonadati; Pseudomonadota; Alphaproteobacteria. The record is from RNAcentral.
CUGGAUUUGCGCAUGGGGGCAACCCUGAUGCAGCCACGCCGCGUGGGUGAUGAAGGCCUUUGGGUUGUAAACCCCUUUCGACCGGGACGAUUGUGGCCGUUCCCGGUGAAGAAGCCCCCGCUAACUUCCUGCCCGCAGCCGCGGUAAUAACACGU